UCCCAGGUGGUCCAGUGGCUAAGACUCUAUGUUCCCAACACAGGGGGCCUGGGUUUGAUCCCUGGUCAGGGAA
RNAcentral lists this transfer RNA (73 nucleotides) under Capra hircus (goat). It matches the Rfam family "tRNA". From Rfam's summary of the family: Transfer RNA (tRNA) molecules are approximately 80 nucleotides in length. Their secondary structure includes four short double-helical elements and three loops (D, anti-codon, and T loops). The record is from Rfam by way of RNAcentral. RNAcentral also lists the same sequence under 1 other name. Lineage: Eukaryota; Metazoa; Chordata; Mammalia; Artiodactyla; Bovidae.